GCUCACUUUGGCAGAACAUAUACUAAAAUUGCAACAAUACAGAGGAGAUUAGCAUGGCCCUGAACAAGGAUGAUACACAAAUUCAUGAAUUAUUCCAUACUUUU
Callorhinus ursinus (northern fur seal) is the source of this 104-nucleotide non-coding RNA. The record is from RefSeq and is a predicted model, not a curated record. Lineage: Eukaryota; Metazoa; Chordata; Mammalia; Carnivora; Otariidae.